Molecule: unclassified non-coding RNA, 337 nt
Filed under: soil metagenome
Description: partial contains 5.8S ribosomal RNA, internal transcribed spacer 2, and large subunit ribosomal RNA
Rfam family: 5.8S ribosomal RNA (bases 1-119)
Source: RNAcentral
GAUGAAGAACGUAGCGAAAUGCGAUAAGUAAUGUGAAUUGCAGAAUUCAGUGAAUCAUCGAAUCUUUGAACGCACAUUGCGCCCGCCAGCAUUCUGGCGGCAUGCCUGUUCGAGCGUCAUUUCAACCCUCAAGCUCUGCUUGGUGUUGGGGCCCUACGGUUGACGUAGGCCCUUAAAGGUAGUGGCGGACCCUCUCGGAGCCUCCUUUGCGUAGUAACUAACGUCUCGCAUUGGGAUUCGGAGGGACUCUUGCCGUAAAACCCCCAAAUUUUCUAAUGGUUGACCUCGGAUCAGGUAGGAAUACCCGCUGAACUUAAGCAUAUCAAUAAGCGGAGGA